RNAcentral lists this ribosomal RNA (406 nucleotides) under Verrucomicrobiota bacterium. RNAcentral describes it as "Verrucomicrobia bacterium partial 16S ribosomal RNA". It matches the Rfam family "Bacterial small subunit ribosomal RNA", at positions 355 to 776 of the family's 1533-position model. The record is from RNAcentral. Lineage: Bacteria; Pseudomonadati; Verrucomicrobiota.
UGGGGAAUAUUGGGCAAUGGGCGAAAGCCUGACCCAGCAACGCCGCGUGAGUGAUGAAGGCCUUCGGGUUGUAAAACUCUUUGGACAGGGACGAAGAAAGUGACGGUACCUGUAGAACAAGCCACGGCUAACUACGUGCCAGCAGCCGCGGUAAUACGUAGGUGGCGAGCGUUAUCCGGAUUUACUGGGCGUAAAGGGCGUGUAGGCGGCUAGAUAAGUGUGAUGUUUAAAUCCAAGGCUUAACCUUGGGGUUCAUUACAAACUGUUUAGCUUGAGUGCGGGAGAGGAUAGUGGAAUUCCUAGUGUAGCGGUAAAAUGCGUAGAUAUUGGGAGGAACACCAGUAGCGAAGGCGGCUUUCUGGACUGCAACUGACACUGAGGAACGAAAGCGUGGGUAGCAAACAGG